Molecule: long non-coding RNA, 465 nt
Filed under: Brachypodium distachyon (stiff brome)
Lineage: Eukaryota; Viridiplantae; Streptophyta; Magnoliopsida; Poales; Poaceae
Description: long non-coding RNA (BDIS_LNC003543)
Source: RNAcentral
AGUAGGUACAGGCCUACGGCCUCAAGGUUUAAGGAUUUCGUCUCUCGAUUGGAUUUUAACACAAGGUUUAAGGAUUUCGUCUCUCGAUUGGAUUUUAACAAUCAGCUCAUCCAUCUGUUCGUGUGGUCAUGUCUAAAUUUAAAUGUAUCUAUACAUUAAGUCAUGUCUAAAUAUAUCCAAAUUUUAACAAACUUGAAAUUUUUUUGUCGUACGAAGGAAGUAGUAUAACUGUAUAGUAUAACUGUAUAAGAUAGUCUGAAUUGGAAACUUUUACCGCACGAAGCUCCAAACAUUGUGACUUACCGAUUGAUAUAAAAAAAAAAUCCCAACUUCCUUUCCAAAACAAGGAUAAAACAACAACUAGUACUCCACAGUCAGCAAUCGAAGGCACGUAGCAAUUGUCACGGGGACAGCGCCAUGCAUAUCAGUCAUUCAUCAUUACGUACACAGGCCACAAGGCGAAGA